GCAGCGAUGUUCGAGUGGUUGAGGAGAUUGACUAGAAAUCAAUUGGGCUCUGCCUGUGUAGGUUCGAAACCUGCUCGCUGCA
This is a non-coding RNA of Angiostrongylus cantonensis (rat lungworm), 82 nucleotides long. The record is from Rfam. NCBI's taxonomy places the organism in Eukaryota, Metazoa, Nematoda, Chromadorea, Rhabditida, Metastrongylidae.